RNAcentral lists this long non-coding RNA (2037 nucleotides) under Homo sapiens (human). RNAcentral's name for it is "non-protein coding lnc-FBN1-5:2". Lineage: Eukaryota; Metazoa; Chordata; Mammalia; Primates; Hominidae. The record is from RNAcentral.
GGAUGGUCCAGGUUUUGGAGGAAUGAAUAGAAUUGGAGGAGGUAUGUAUAAAGAUUUGUUUUUUUGUAUGUACCCAUCACCAUUUUUAAUAAACUAGAAACUGUGUUGAGAAUUCCAUGAAAAAAAAGUCAUGGUUUAUUGUUGGCUCAUGUUCUAAAGGCUGCUAGCAGAAAUUGAGCCUGGUACAUACUUAAAGGAAGGUGAUGUGUUAAGAAGUAGCUGCACAAGGUAGGGUGGAUGAAGAGCUUACUGGUGAGAUUUAACAUUUACAAAACGUACCUUUCAGCUACAUGACUGACAGUUGGAUCUCAAAAUUAAUCUUUAUUCCAUAGGAAUAGGGUUUGGUGGUCUGGAAGCAAUGAAUAGCAUGGGAGGAUUUGGAGGAGUUGGCCGAAUGGGAGAGCUGUACCGUGGUGCGAUGACUAGUAGCAUGGAGCGAGAUUUUGGACGUGGUGAUAUUGGAAUAAAUCGAGGCUUUGGAGAUUCCUUUGGUAGACUUGGUGGUGGAAUGGGUAGCAUGAACAGUGUGACUGGAGGAAUGGGGAUGGGACUGGACCGGAUGAGUUCCAGCUUUGAUAGAAUGGGACCAGGUAUAGGAGCUAUACUGGAAAGGAGCAUCGAUAUGGAUCGAGGAUUUUUAUCGGGUCCAAUGGGAAGCGGAAUGAGAGAGAGAAUAGGCUCCAAAGGCAACCAGAUAUUUGUCAGAAAUCUACCUUUUGACUUGACUUGGCAGAAACUAAAAGAGAAAUUCAGUCAGUGUGGUCAUGUAAUGUUUGCAGAAAUAAAAAUGGAGAAUGGAAAGUCAAAAGGCUGUGGAACAGUCAGAUUUGACUCCCCAGAAUCAGCUGAAAAAGCCUGCAGAAUAAUGAAUGGCAUAAAAAUCAGUGGCAGAGAAAUUGAUGUUCGCUUGGAUCGUAAUGCAUAAUUUCAAGCCAUGGUUGGAACAUUCCUACAUCUGUUUUGCUGAAUCUCCUAGUAAAAGUCAUUUUUUUAAAGUAAUAUUGUAUGCUUACAAAAGCUGUAAAAAUGAACUUUUAAAACUCCCACCAGCUUUUAACAGUAUAAUGUUAAAAAUAUACUGUAAUUUUUGUUAAUCUCAAGUUUGGGUUUUUAAAGACAGCAAGUCUGGUCAUUCAGUUUAAAUGAAUGGUUAUACUGUUUUUAAUGAAAUAAGCCAUUUUCUUGUUGUUUUCAGUACUACAUAGUUGGAUUUGUUUGUUCUAGUUUCUCCAGUUUUUGUCAACUUAUUGUAUGGUAAAACAUAGAUUUUUUCCCCCCAAACUUCUGUUUUAUAAUAUGUAAUUUUUCAUGAAAAGAAAGGGCUCAGAAAAAUUAGGAUGUGAUUUUGGUUGGUUUUAAAUUACUGUAAGUUUUAGAUUCUAAGGUUCAAGAUUUUUAAAAUUUGAUUUAAAUGAAGAAAUGGAUUUUUCUCUCUGCCCCUCCCUGCCAUUCAUAUUUUCUGCAUAACACUAUUAAUAAUAUCAACCUCCACAGCCCCUUAUUUUAUUAUUUCCAAUAAUUCCAAGUUCAUAUAGAACUGAUAAUGUAGCAAGCCCCAAGUAUGAUAAUAGGCAGACUAUUCCCAACUUUCUGUCUAGUUUCCAGCCAUUGAAGUGAACUGCUAAAAAAAGAAAAAUAAUUGAAAUGUUGAGAGAGAUGGUUAUGUAAGUUAGUCCUCUGCUGUUUACUUCUGCAGGAGCUGAUCCAUUUAUAAAUGCAGUUUUAAUAAACCAUGGAAUACCAAGGCACAACAUAUCAAACACAUUGGAUCCCACGAUGUUAGACAUAGCCAUAUCUCCUUUCCCUACAAAAGAAAAGCAUACUGUUAAAAUGUGCUUACCAAUACUGUGUUUUAUUAAUAAUCUUCAUAAGAAAAGAAACACUGGAUACUUUUUUGUUGUUGAUUCGUUUUGAAAAAUUGUUGUUAGAGCAAAAGUCUUACUGAAUUUGUAUUUUUAAAUUUUUCUUGGGUUAGUAUUUAAAGUCUUAACAUUUAUUUAAUAAUUAUAUUUAUUAAACCAUUUUUCAAUAAGGUAU